Molecule: long non-coding RNA, 226 nt
Organism: Suricata suricatta (meerkat)
Lineage: Eukaryota; Metazoa; Chordata; Mammalia; Carnivora; Herpestidae
Exons: 3
Source: RefSeq, a predicted model, not a curated record
GGGCGGGGCUAGACGGCCUGUAGUUAAGACUGGGCGUGGCCUCCGAGGAUAUCGCGGGUGGCGUCAGGGAUUUUGAAGCUCUUUUAUUGAGCAUGCACAUUCAGGAAUAAUAUAUCUUCUUGGUGAGGACACAGCGAGAAGAUGGCCGUCCAUGAAGAAACAGUACGUGUUCAGCCGACACCAAAUCUGUCAACACCUUGACCUCAGACUUCCUAGCCUUCAGAAC